Molecule: long non-coding RNA, 250 nt
Filed under: Nicotiana benthamiana
Lineage: Eukaryota; Viridiplantae; Streptophyta; Magnoliopsida; Solanales; Solanaceae
Description: long non-coding RNA (NBEN_LNC013118)
Source: RNAcentral
GAGACUGGCUUCACUGUUUUGACUGUAGUGAUAAGCUUUCCACACUGACUGAACAUUCAGUGAAGACGUGUUAAUCGAUUUCUUUAUUUUCUUUGUUAUUUACCUGAAUUAUUGCUUUGCUUUUCAUCAUUAUAUCCCUCAGAAAUUAACCCUUUCACUUUUUCCCCUUAAUUUAGUCGUGAGCUUUUGAAGAAAUGUAAAACUGUUAUAAGAAGAGUCUUACUUCAAGGCUAAGUCUUUUAUCUUCCUA